RNAcentral lists this ribosomal RNA (252 nucleotides) under uncultured bacterium. RNAcentral describes it as "partial 16S ribosomal RNA". It matches the Rfam family "Bacterial small subunit ribosomal RNA", at positions 524 to 776 of the family's 1533-position model. The record is from RNAcentral.
UACGGAGGAUGCGAGCGUUAUCCGGAUUUAUUGGGUUUAAAGGGUGCGUAGGCGGGAGAUCAAGUCAGCGGUAAAAUUGUGAGGCUCAACCUCAUCAGGCCGUUGAAACUGGUUUUCUUGAGUGAGCGAGAGGUAUGCGGAAUGCGUGGUGUAGCGGUGAAAUGCAUAGAUAUCACGCAGAACCCCGAUUGCGAAGGCAGCAUACCGGUGCUCAACUGACGCUGAGGCACGAAAGCGUGGGGAUCAAACAGG